Molecule: transfer RNA, 67 nt
Filed under: Gemmuloborsonia moosai
Lineage: Eukaryota; Metazoa; Mollusca; Gastropoda; Neogastropoda; Turridae
Description: tRNA-Met
Rfam family: tRNA
About the family: Transfer RNA (tRNA) molecules are approximately 80 nucleotides in length. Their secondary structure includes four short double-helical elements and three loops (D, anti-codon, and T loops). Further hydrogen bonds mediate the characteristic L-shaped molecular structure. tRNAs have two regions of fundamental functional importance: the anti-codon, which is responsible for specific mRNA codon recognition, and the 3' end, to which the tRNAs corresponding amino acid is attached (by aminoacyl-tRNA synthetases). tRNAs cope with the degeneracy of the genetic code in two manners: having more than one tRNA (with a specific anti-codon) for a particular amino acid; and 'wobble' base-pairing, i.e. permitting non-standard base-pairing at the 3rd anti-codon position.
Source: RNAcentral
UGUAGAAUAAGCUAAGGUUAAGCUAUUGGGUUCAUACCCCAAAAAUGAAUAGAAAAUUCUUCUACAA